AAAGCAGGUCAUAGUGAUCCGGUGGUUCUGAAUGGAAGGGCCAUCGCUCAACGGAUAAAAGGUACUCCGGGGAUAACAGGCUGAUACCGCCCAAGAGUUCAUAUCGACGGCGGUGUUUGGCACCUCGAUGUCGGCUCAUCACAUCCUGGGGCUGAAGUAGGUCCCAAGGGUAUGGCUGUUCGCCAUUUAAAGUGGUACGCGAGCUGGGUUUAGAACGUCGUGAGACAGUUCGGUCCCUAUCUGCCGUGGGCGCUGGAGAACUGAGGGGGGCUGCUCCUAGUACGAGAGGACCGGAGUGGACGCAUCACUGGUGUUCGGGUUGUCAUGCCAAUGGCACUGCCCGGUAGCUAAAUGCGGAAGAGAUAAGUGCUGAAAGCAUCUAAGCACGAAACUUGCC
This 397-nucleotide ribosomal RNA is filed under the name Escherichia coli. RNAcentral's name for it is "partial 23S ribosomal RNA". It matches the Rfam family "Bacterial large subunit ribosomal RNA", at positions 2402 to 2798 of the family's 2925-position model. Lineage: Bacteria; Pseudomonadati; Pseudomonadota; Gammaproteobacteria; Enterobacterales; Enterobacteriaceae. The record is from RNAcentral.